RNAcentral lists this ribosomal RNA (465 nucleotides) under uncultured bacterium. RNAcentral's name for it is "partial 16S ribosomal RNA". It matches the Rfam family "Bacterial small subunit ribosomal RNA", at positions 28 to 507 of the family's 1533-position model. The record is from RNAcentral.
GAUAAACGCUGACAGAAUGCUUAACACAUGCAAGUCGAUGAUGGGAGCUAGCUUGCUAGAAGAAGUCAUGGCGGACGGGCGAGUAACGUGUAAAGAACUUACCAUAUAGACUGGGAUAACAGAGGGAAACUUCUGAUAAUACUGGAUAAGUUAGUAGUAGCAUUACUAAGUAAUGAAAGGUAGCAAUACGCUAUAUGAGAGCUUUGCAUCCUAUUAGCUAGUUGGUGGGGUAAAAGCCUACCAAGGCGAUGAUAGGUAGCCGGCCUGAGAGGGUGGACAGCCACAAGGGGACUGAGAUACGGCCCUUACUCCUACGGGAGGCAGCAGUGGGGAAUAUUGGACAAUGGAGGCAACUCUGAUCCAGCAAUUCUGUGUGUGUGAAGAAGGUUUUAGGACUGUAAAACACUUUUAGUAGGGAAGAAAGAAAUGACGGUACCUACAGAAGAAGCGACGGCUAAAUACGUG